GUGACUGCGUACCUUUUGUAUAAUGGGUCAGCGACUUAUAUUCUGUAGCAAGGUUAACCGAAUAGGGGAGCCGGAGGGAAACCGAGUCUUAAUUGGGCGUUAAGUUGCAGGGUAUAGACCCGAAACCCGGUGAUCUAGCCAUGGGCAGGUUGAAGGUUGGGUAACACUAACUGGAGGACCGAACCGACUAAUGUUGAAAAAUUAGCGGAUGACCUGUGGCUGGGGGUGAAAGGCCAAUCAAACCGGGAGAUAGCUGGUUCUCCCCGAAAGCUAUUUAGGUAGCGCCUCGUGAAUUCAUCUCCGGGGGUAGAGCACUGUUUCGGCUAGGGGGCCAUCCCGGCUUACCAACCCGAUGCAAAC
Molecule: ribosomal RNA, 360 nt
Filed under: Salmonella enterica subsp. enterica serovar Kentucky
Lineage: Bacteria; Pseudomonadati; Pseudomonadota; Gammaproteobacteria; Enterobacterales; Enterobacteriaceae
Description: bacterial LSU rRNA
Rfam family: Bacterial large subunit ribosomal RNA
Source: RNAcentral